UCCAGCUGCAUCUCAUCCCCUCGGUAGUUUAGAUUGCAUUUCAGUCUGCGUCUCGUUGGUUCAUCUGUUUUCGUCCACCCCUCGUCUGUGCCUGUUCUCCAGUCCCCGUGUGCUCCCUGUGCUCCCCAUUUGUUCCAUGUGGUUUUCUGGAACAACAGCAACAAAGUGAUAUUAGACACACCGCUUUCAAUUCAACGGGGAAGAAAAUGUCGUCCGUGUCGGAGUAUCAGUACGGUACAAAGCUGGACGACUCGCAGUUUGCAAGAUAUAAAGACACAAGAUUCCAUCCUUUUGUCAGAGGGAGUCUGAUCGUGCAUCUCGACUUCACUGGAUCUCAGAUAUAAAGGACGCUGCUUUGAUGAGCAUCUUAAACAAAGAGCAUGAGCAGCACUCGACGCACAGCGGAUGGAGAGGCUACUCAUGGCUCUUCCACAUUCAAACCGAAUUACAGUAAUUUAUUUGAAAAAUUCCCCUCCUUGAGUAGGUGGUGGAACAGCAUGCUAAAAGGCUUUUGAGGCUAUUUUUUAUUUUGUUGAAAGAAGAACAUUUCUCAUGGGAAAGAAGGCUCAUCUAAAGGUUGUUAUAUGAAUGUUAUAUGCACAGACCGUGUAAUACAUAAUGGGGGGAUGAAUGUUUUUGCACCUUCGACACACAAAAGAGAGAAAAAAUAACAAUUAAAAAAAAUCUAAAAAGGUCUUUAUCAAUAUUGGCCAAAUGGCUAUUUUAAGUAUCGUAUCAACCCAGGAUCUCCAUAUUGGUGUGUUCUUAGUUGAAAACCAGCUUGCUUACUGGAUUUAUUUUGCUGCAGUACCAGAUUUGGCCACUGGUGAACAAACUAGCAGCAUUGUAACGAUCCAGCUUGUGUCCUUUCUUUUGAUUUGGUGCUUGAGAUCAUUUCCAUGGAUGAAUGCGAUGUCAGCGUGGCUCAUGUUCCUGUUGUUGACACUGUGGUGAUGUUAACCGCUGAGAGCGGCGUGUGUUGUCGCUUCAUGCAUUAGCGCUGAGAGAAUGUCAGCUCUUAAAAGUGCCUCGUUCUCGCUGCUGCAGAGUCUCCACAUUUUGUUUCUCUUUACGCUGUUUUCUAUUUGUCAAGUAAAUCGCUUAAAGAAAAAGUCUCCAUGUCUCCACGUUUUCUUACAAUGUCUGCAACCAAAUUAAAAACAUAUUAUUCAUUAA
Molecule: long non-coding RNA, 1176 nt
Organism: Acanthopagrus latus (yellowfin seabream)
Lineage: Eukaryota; Metazoa; Chordata; Actinopteri; Spariformes; Sparidae
Exons: 2
Source: RefSeq, a predicted model, not a curated record